UAUGAAUAAUGAGGGUACAAGGCAGGACAUGUACACAUAUUUUCUUCAUGGUUUCAAAUAGUUUGUCCACAUUCAAUGAAUGACUUAUGUUUCUCACAUCCCUCAAGCAAGGCAGCAGAUUAGCAAGGAAAACUACAGCUACGAUUCAAGCACACACUAUUAUGAUUGCUUGCUGGUGUGCAUUUAUGUGCUUUUGGUAGACUUCACCAUAUUGGAUGAUGUAAUGUGAAAACAAGAUUGUAUGCUUCACUUAGUUUGCUGGAUGUGAUGUAAACAUGCAAGAGACAAGAUUAAUAUAUGUAUGUAUUGACCUCU
Long non-coding RNA from Sorghum bicolor (sorghum), 315 nucleotides. RefSeq lists it as uncharacterized. The record is from RefSeq and is a predicted model, not a curated record. The transcript is spliced from 2 exons. Lineage: Eukaryota; Viridiplantae; Streptophyta; Magnoliopsida; Poales; Poaceae.